Molecule: ribosomal RNA, 497 nt
Filed under: uncultured bacterium
Lineage: Bacteria
Description: partial 16S ribosomal RNA
Rfam family: Bacterial small subunit ribosomal RNA
Source: RNAcentral
GAUGAACGCUGGCGGCGUGCCUAAUACAUGCAAGUCGAGCGAACAGACGAGGAGCUUGCUCCUCUGACGUUAGCGGCGGACGGGUGAGUAACACGUGGAUAACCUACCUAUAAGACUGGGAUAACUUCGGGAAUCCGGAGCUAAUACCGGAUAAUAUAUUGAACCGCAUGGUUCAAUAGUGAAAGACGGUUUUGCUGUCACUUAUAGAUGGAUCCGCGCCGCAUUAGCUAGUUGGUAAGGUAACGGCUUACCAAGGCAACGAUGCGUAGCCGACCUGAGAGGGUGAUCGGCCACACUGGAACGGCGACACGGACCAGACUACUACGUGAGGCAGCAGUAGCGAAUGUUCCGCAAUGGGCGAAAGCCUGACGGAGCAACGCCACGUGAGUGAUGAAGGUCUACGGAUCGUAAAACUCUGUUAUUAGGGAAGAACAGAUGUGUAAGUAACUAUGCACGGCUUGACGGUACCUAAUCAGAAAGCCACGGCUAACUACGUG